RNAcentral lists this ribosomal RNA (1365 nucleotides) under Triticum aestivum (bread wheat). Its description in RNAcentral is "partial small subunit ribosomal RNA". The record is from RNAcentral. Lineage: Eukaryota; Viridiplantae; Streptophyta; Magnoliopsida; Poales; Poaceae.
AUGAACGUGAACACCUCGGCGGCGCCCACCUACACUGCGGCACCUCCCAGAAGUACACGUGAACGUCCUCGUGGAUACUGCGAGCACCGUGAAGUGCUCCGAAAGCGGCCGGCGGCGAGCAGCUGUGAUCGGCGUCUAGCAUUUCCAGCACGAGGCGGCGAUGACGGGCUUUCCCUUCCAUCCAAGCACGAGGCAUCCCUUCUCCUCGGCCACCGUGUAUCCGCUGCCGCCGGCGUUCUCCUCCAGCCACUCCCGCGCCUUGGCCGCCAUCUUGAAGGGCAUGGCCUGGAAGCCCGCGCGGCUCAUGCGGCGCCGCCACUGGUCCGCGCGCUCGUGCCGCUCCACGCGCGCCGCGCCCUCGCACCCGACCACGUUGCGGAUCUCGGCGCCGAAGUGGAACUGCUCCACGCGCGCGCGCCGGGCGUCGUAGCGCGGGAGCGCCGCGUCGAGGGCGUCGAACAGCGCGGCGUAGUAGUGGAGCGCCUCCAUGAACCGCCCCAGGAAGAAGGGCCCGUUGUGGCCGGCGUCCUGCUCCACGAGCACGAACGCCUUCGGCGAGAGCUUGCGGAUAGUCUGCAGCACCGAGUUGAGCGCGCCGCGGCUCUCCUUCACCACGCAGUGCAGCUCCAGGACGCUGUUGAUGGCCACGGCCUCGUCGGCCUCGACGCCAAGGUCGUCCACGUGGAGGCUCUCCAGGGUGCGGUCGACGGCCAUGAACUCGAGGGUCAUCCCGAGCUCCUCCGCGUACGCCUCGAGCUCGCGCCCGACGGCUCUCAUGGUGUCUACGCGGGCGCCGACGCCGGUGACGCGAACGCGCGCCGGCUUGCCGCUGGCCCGUGUGGCGAGGCUGUCGAGCAGGGCGCGCCACUGGUGGCCGCGGUUCAAGCCCAUCGUCAUGCCGAGGUCCACCACGUGGACGUUGGUCUCUCCCUCGAAGGCUUCCAGGAUGGACGUGUUCGCCACGAAGUGCGCGAAGCGCAGGUACGGGCACAGCUCGUACGCCACGGCGAGCGCCUCGCCGCGCGCCCCGUCGAGGCACGACGACCGCGGGACACAGAACGCCAUGCUGGCCGGGCCCAACGCCGGCGGGUGCGCCAGGGCCAGCCGGUCCGCCAGGCCCUGCACGAAGCACGACGCGACGCGCUGGAACGCCGUGCCGUGCACGGGCGCGCCAACCUGCAGCUCACGCAGCAGCGCAGCCGCCUGCGCGCGAUCGCGGCACGCCACGGCCUCGGCGCAGGCGACAAGCAGCUGCACGAGCCGCAUGCCAUCAGCUCCGCUGCCGCCACCGCCGGCCCGGACGUCGUCCACGGCGACCAGCGCCUCACCUUGUUCCUCGAACCCGCCACUGCCGACCGGCGAUGA